This 1286-nucleotide ribosomal RNA is filed under the name metagenome. RNAcentral describes it as "bacterial SSU rRNA". It matches the Rfam family "Bacterial small subunit ribosomal RNA", at positions 242 to 1520 of the family's 1533-position model. The record is from RNAcentral.
UAGCUAGUUGGUGAGGUAACGGCUUACCAAGGCGACGAUCUGUAGCGGGUCUGAGAGGAUGAUCCGCCACACUGGAACUGAGACACGGUCCAGACUCCUACGGGAGGCAGCAGUGGGGAAUUUUGGACAAUGGGGGCAACCCUGAUCCAGCCAUGCCGCGUGAGUGAAGAAGGCCUUCGGGUUGUAAAGCUCUUUCGGCCGGGAAGAAAUCGCAUGGGCCAAUACCCUGUGUGGAUGACGGUACCGGAAUAAGAAGCACCGGCUAACUACGUGCCAGCAGCCGCGGUAAUACGUAGGGUGCGAGCGUUAAUCGGAAUUACUGGGCGUAAAGCGUGCGCAGGCGGUUUUGUAAGACAGGCGUGAAAUCCCCGGGCUCAACCUGGGAACUGCGUUUGUGACUGCAAGGCUAGAGUACGGCAGAGGGGGGUGGAAUUCCACGUGUAGCAGUGAAAUGCGUAGAGAUGUGGAGGAACACCAAUGGCGAAGGCAGCCCCCUGGGUCGAUACUGACGCUCAUGCACGAAAGCGUGGGUAGCAAACAGGAUUAGAUACCCUGGUAGUCCACGCCCUAAACUAUGUCAACUAGGUGUUGGGUGGGUAAAACCAUUUAGUACCGUAGCUAACGCGUGAAGUUGACCGCCUGGGGAGUACGGCCGCAAGGUUAAAACUCAAAGGAAUUGACGGGGACCCGCACAAGCGGUGGAUGAUGUGGAUUAAUUCGAUGCAACGCGAAAAACCUUACCUACCCUUGACAUGCCAGGAACUUGCCAGAGAUGGCUUGGUGCCCGAAAGGGAGCCUGGACACAGGUGCUGCAUGGCUGUCGUCAGCUCGUGUCGUGAGAUGUUGGGUUAAGCCCCGCAACGAGCGCAACCCUUGUCGUUAAUUGCCAUCAUUUAGUUGGGCACUUUAGCGAGACUGCCGGUGACAAACCGGAGGAAGGUGGGGAUGACGUCAAGUCCUCAUGGCCCUUAUGGGUAGGGCUUCACACGUCAUACAAUGGUCGGUACAAAGGGUCGCCAAGCCGCGAGGUGGAGCCAAUCCCAGAAAGCCGAUCGUAGUCCGGAUUGCAGGCUGCAACUCGCCUGCAUGAAGUCGGAAUCGCUAGUAAUCGUGGAUCAGCAUGUCACGGUGAAUACGUUCCCGGGUCUUGUACACACCGCCCGUCACACCAUGGGAGCGGGUUCCGCCAGAAGUAGGUAGCCUAACCGCAAGGAGGGCGCUUACCACGGCGGGGUUCGUGACUGGGGUGAAGUCGUAACAAGGUAGCCGUAGGGGACCUGCGGCUG